CAGCAGCCACGGUAAUACGAGGGGGGCAAGCGUUGUUCGGAUUUAUUGGGCGUAAAGGGUGCGUCGGCGGUUUGGCAAGUCUUGUGUGAAAUCUUCGGGCUCAACCCGAAGCCUGCACGAGAAACUACCGGGCUUGAGUAUUGGAGAGGUGAGUGGAAUUUCCGGUGUAGCGGUGAAAUGCGUAGAUAUCGGAAGGAACACCUGUGGCGAAAGCGGCUCACUGGACCAUUUCUGACGCUGAUGCACGAAAGCUAGGGGAGCAAACAGGAUUAGAUACCCCCGUAGUCCCUGUCUCUUAUAA
Molecule: ribosomal RNA, 301 nt
Filed under: uncultured bacterium
Lineage: Bacteria
Description: partial 16S ribosomal RNA
Rfam family: Bacterial small subunit ribosomal RNA
Source: RNAcentral